CGGGCUCACAAAGCGGCCGGACGCACGGCGGCGGCGGCGGCGGCGGCAGCGGCAGCGGCAGGUGCGCAGGGGAACGAGCCGGGCAGCAGCCUUCCCAGCCACCGCGGUACAGGAACACCAGCAACUCGGGCGCCGGGACUCGGGCGGGCUCCCAAGAUGCCAGCGAUCGCGGUGCUCGCGGCGGCUGCCGCGGCGUGGUGCUUCCUCCAAGUGGACAGCCGGCACCUGGACGCGCUGGCCGGUGGCGCGGCCCUCAACAACGCCAAUUUCCUAGACAAUGACCAGUGGCUGAGCACCGUCUCCCAGUAUGACCGUGACAAGUACUGGAACCGCUUCCGAGAUG
RNAcentral lists this long non-coding RNA (343 nucleotides) under Rattus norvegicus (Norway rat). RNAcentral describes it as "long non-coding RNA NONRATT012754". The record is from RNAcentral. Lineage: Eukaryota; Metazoa; Chordata; Mammalia; Rodentia; Muridae.